RNAcentral lists this ribosomal RNA (178 nucleotides) under Enterobacter ludwigii. RNAcentral's name for it is "partial 23S ribosomal RNA". It matches the Rfam family "Bacterial large subunit ribosomal RNA", at positions 2750 to 2925 of the family's 2925-position model. The record is from RNAcentral. Lineage: Bacteria; Pseudomonadati; Pseudomonadota; Gammaproteobacteria; Enterobacterales; Enterobacteriaceae.
AAACUUGCCCCGAGAUGAGUUCUCCCUGAGACUUUAAAAACUUGCCCCGAGAUGAGUUCUCCCUGAGACUUUAAGUCUCCUGAAGGAACGUUGAAGACUACGACGUUGAUAGGUCGGGUGUGUAAGCGCAGCGAUGCGUUGAGCUAACCGAUACUAAUGAACCGUGAGGCUUAACCUU